GGCACUAUAGCCAAGUGGUUACGGCGACAGAUUCGAACGAAAGCAUCUGUUCCUCUUUGAGGGCGCAGGUUCAAAUCCUGCUGGUGUCG
Molecule: non-coding RNA, 89 nt
Organism: Pluteus cervinus
Lineage: Eukaryota; Fungi; Basidiomycota; Agaricomycetes; Agaricales; Pluteaceae
Source: the annotation of a GenBank genome assembly